UACGUACUGUGCGGACGUUAUUCGGAAUCACUGGGCUUAAAGGGUGUGUAGGCGGCCAGCUAAGUAGGGUGUGAAAGGCCUCGGCCUAACCGAGGCACUGCGCCCUAAACUGACUGGCUUGAGUGAGAUAGGGGUGUGCGGAACUUCCAGUGGAGCGGUGAAAUGUGUUGAUAUUGGAAGGAACGCCGGUGGCGAAAGCGGCACACUGGGUCUCGUCUGACGCUGAGACACGAAAGCCAGGGGAG
Molecule: ribosomal RNA, 245 nt
Filed under: uncultured Planctomyces sp.
Lineage: Bacteria; Pseudomonadati; Planctomycetota; Planctomycetia; Planctomycetales; Planctomycetaceae
Description: partial 16S ribosomal RNA
Rfam family: Bacterial small subunit ribosomal RNA
Source: RNAcentral